CUUCGGUUCGGAAUAACCCAGGGAAACUUGGGCUAAUACCGGAUACGCCCUUUAGGGGAAAGGUUUACUGCCGAAGGAUCGGCCCGCGUCUGAUUAGCUAGUUGGUGAGGUAACGGCCUACCAAGGCGAAGAUCAGUAGCUGGUCUGAGAGGAUGAUCAGCCACACUGGGACUGAGACACGGCCCAGACUCCUACGGGAGGCAGCAGUGGGGAAUAUUGGACAAUGGGCGCAAGCCUGAUCCAGCCAUGCCGCGUGAGUGAUGAAGGCCUUAGGGUUGUAAAGCUCUUUUCUCCGGGACGAUAAUGACGGUACCGGAGGAAUAAGCCCCGGCUAACUUCGUGCCAGCAGCCGCGGUAAU
This 359-nucleotide ribosomal RNA is filed under the name uncultured Methylobacterium sp. RNAcentral's name for it is "bacterial SSU rRNA". It matches the Rfam family "Bacterial small subunit ribosomal RNA", at positions 131 to 524 of the family's 1533-position model. The record is from RNAcentral. Lineage: Bacteria; Pseudomonadati; Pseudomonadota; Alphaproteobacteria; Hyphomicrobiales; Methylobacteriaceae.